Molecule: ribosomal RNA, 382 nt
Filed under: uncultured eukaryote
Lineage: Eukaryota
Description: partial 18S ribosomal RNA
Rfam family: Eukaryotic small subunit ribosomal RNA
Source: RNAcentral
UGUAAGCGUAUACCAAAGUUGUUGCAGUUAAAACGCUCGUAGUCGGAAUUUGGCAGUUCCGGAUGUGUGCACGUCGUGUGCGCACUCCGCGGGGAUUGCUUUUGUGGUCUUGCGUAGGAUGAGGCACUUUUAUUAGUGAACGUCCUCACGCAACCACUUUUUACUGUGAGAAAAUCAGAGUGCUCAAAGCAGGCAUUUGCCGUGAAUGUAUUAGCAUGGAAUAAUAGAAUAGGACUUGGUUCUAUUUUGUUGGUUUGUUGGGACUGAGUAAUGAUUAAGAGGGACAGUUGGGGGCAUUUGUAUUUCGGUGCUAGAGGUGAAAUUCUUAGAUUACCGAAAGACAAACUGCUGCGAAAGCGUCUGCCAAGGAUGUUUUCAUUGA